Molecule: long non-coding RNA, 831 nt
Organism: Papaver somniferum (opium poppy)
Lineage: Eukaryota; Viridiplantae; Streptophyta; Magnoliopsida; Ranunculales; Papaveraceae
Exons: 2
Source: RefSeq, a predicted model, not a curated record
UCUGUCAUUAGAGGCUUAAUAUUGUUAGCAGACGCUAGGUUCGAUUCCUGCUGAGAACAAUUUUCUCGACAUUUUCCUACAGUUCAUUACCUCUCCGUCCGCUAGAAACCUCUUCCCUCUUUUCUCUCGGUUUCAUUCUUCUCGAUUGAAAUCUCCUCCCUCUUCUUUGUUCUUGAUUUUUACCAUCUUCAUCAAUUCCACACGCUAACAUGAUAUGAUUGAAUUGAUUCCAAAUUGUUUCACAGAAAUCUCACAGUAACAAAUACCCCAGAAGUUCAAAUGAAACCCAAAAUUUUGAGAGAGUUUGAAAAAUGGGAUGAACUGAUAGAAUUAAGUUUACAGUCAAUUUGGAAACUUACUUCUUCGAAUACAGAAAAGUAGGAAAUCUCAUUUCUGGGUUAGGGCUUCCCGUUUAAGUUAGGGUUUCCCAAGCUUUUCUCUCCACUUCAAAGGGCUUCACGAUACUCAUAGUCUUCUACUAAAUCGGACCAUCCUGUUGCCUGGGGCCAGCGAGUAGAUCCAAGUCAAUGGGGUGAUGCUUAUUAUGGUUAGGGACAAGGGUAUGAUGCUUAUGCUUGUGGUGCUGCUCGAGAUCCAUCUUUGUAUGCUUAUGGUGGAUACGUAGGGUAACGGAUUUCACUUAUGGUGUGUUGUGAUGAACAUCAGUAACGUAUUCAUUUAGCUGCUGUUAUAAAGGUGGAGACAAUUACGGUAUCAACUGAACUUUCUCUUGAGCAAAUUCUUUUCAUCUUCUUCUGGGUGAUUAUGGGACUUCGAUUAAAAUAAUUUGAUUUGCUGACCAUAAUAAAGGAAUGAUUUGAUUUACAGUAA